CUAUCCCCAUGUGAGCGGCUCAGCUUCUUAGGAGAAUGACGUAGCAUGCUACGCG
RNAcentral lists this unclassified non-coding RNA (55 nucleotides) under synthetic construct. Its description in RNAcentral is "Template RNA (55-MER) from synthetic construct (PDB 7UO4, chain T)". The record is from RNAcentral.